This 410-nucleotide ribosomal RNA is filed under the name uncultured archaeon. RNAcentral describes it as "bacterial SSU rRNA". It matches the Rfam family "Archaeal small subunit ribosomal RNA", at positions 592 to 997 of the family's 1478-position model. The record is from RNAcentral.
CUUGGAACCGGGAGAGGUAACGAGGUACUACAGGGGUAGGAGUGAAAUCUUGUAAUCCCUGUGGGACCACCUGUGGCGAAGGCGUCUUACCAGAACGGGUUCGACGGUGAGGGACGAAAGCUGGGGGCACGAACCGGAUUAGAUACCCGGGUAGUCCCAGCCGUAAACGAUGCUCGCUAGGUGUCAGGCAUGGCGCGACCGUGUCUGGUGCCGCAGGGAAGCCGUGAAGCGAGCCACCUGGGAAGUACGGCCGCAAGGCUGAAACUUAAAGGAAUUGGCGGGGGAGCACAACAACGGGUGGAGCCCUGCGGUUUAAUUGGACUCAACGCCGGACAACUCACCGGGGGUCGACAGCAAUAUGUAGGCCAAGUCUGAAGACUUUGCCUGAAUCGCUGAGAGGAGGUGCAUGG